RNAcentral lists this ribosomal RNA (393 nucleotides) under uncultured bacterium. RNAcentral's name for it is "partial 16S ribosomal RNA". It matches the Rfam family "Bacterial small subunit ribosomal RNA", at positions 523 to 918 of the family's 1533-position model. The record is from RNAcentral.
AUACGGAGGAUCCGAGCGUUAUCCGGAUUUAUUGGGUUUAAAGGGUGCGCAGGCGGGAGAUUAAGUCGGCGGUGAAAUUUUUCCGCUUAACCGAAAAAGUGCCUUUGAAACUGGUUUUCUUGAGUGUAGAAGAAGUAAGCGGAACUUUGGGUGUAGCGGUGUAAUGCAUAGAUAUCACGAGGAACACCGAUUGCGCAGGCAGCUUACUAAACUACUACUGACGCUCAGGCACGAAGGCGUGGGGAUCAAACAGGAUUAGAUACCCUGGUAGUCCACGCAGUAAACGAUGAUUACUAGCUGUUUGCGAUACAAUGUAAGCGGCUGAGCGAAAGCGUUAAGUAAUCCACCUGGGGAGUACGUUCGCAAGAAUGAAACUCAAAUGAAUUGACGGGG